AGUGAACACCGGGCGCGCGACCGUGCUGGCCGCGUUCAGCAACAAGCUACUCUCGUCCCCCGACACCAGCGGGCUUCUUCCCAGGUAUGUGCGGAUGAGCCCCGACGGCCGGUUGUCCUGGUGGAACGUGUCGCCCUCGUUCCCCAACGCCACGAUGUGGAUGGACCUGCGGGGCCGAGAGGGGCGCGGUGAGCGGGUGGGUACAGCCAGGGCGCGUGGCACGUCCCGGACCCAGACCGUGGCAGAACGGCGACGCGUACGUACAUGAUCGCGGCUGGCAGGGCGGCGCGGAGAUGGCAGCGGGCGGCCUGGCGGGGGCCCGGGCGACGCUCUCACUGCAGUCAGCUCAUCCCCGGCCGCGGCCCUCCCGCUCCUACGACGCGGCGCUACCGACGCAGAGGAGCGGGCCGGGAGUGAGCGGCCGGCCGGGCGCUGGCAGCGCUGCGGUCCCUGGUCGCCGCUCCUGGCCGCCGCGCCUCCGCCCGGGCUCCGCCUCCGCUCGGCGGGGCCGGAGGCCCGCACGUGUCGCCCCGAGAGUCCGGCGCGCGGGGGAGCUGGCUGCUGGCCGAGGCCGCGGGACACAAAGGAGCGGUGGGCGCGGGGACGACGCCGGAGCCCGGGAGCAGCUCGCCGCCAAUCCGCCUGCAGCAAGUUUCCUCAACUCGGAAGGCUGAAACCUGAGCCGGGAGCGGGGGAGGGGCGGCCUGGCCCCCGCCGGGGACCAGAAGAGAGCCCAGCCAGGAGGCAGCCCCCUGCCCACCCCGCGGUCCCGUACCCACCCCAGCCUUCGCAGAAAGUGUGUUAUCGUUUUGUCAAUUUACAACAUGCGCUUUGGCUGUUUUGUAAAAUCGUACUUGUGAAGAAGGAAAAAAAAAAAAGGCAACAUUCAUGCAGCUGCAGAAAAGGUUCUUUGUUCACGCACCAAUUAAUUUGCGGGUGCCACUUUGGAAAGGUCAUUUACUAUUGCAAGCUAUAUUUGGCAUAUUUUAACCAAGAUUGUGGAAUUUGAAGUGUUGGGAUUUUUAAUGUGUGUGGUUUAAAAAAAAAAG
RNAcentral lists this long non-coding RNA (1049 nucleotides) under Mus musculus (house mouse). Its description in RNAcentral is "long non-coding RNA chr13:75943266-75944315". Lineage: Eukaryota; Metazoa; Chordata; Mammalia; Rodentia; Muridae. The record is from RNAcentral.